Molecule: ribosomal RNA, 309 nt
Filed under: uncultured eukaryote
Lineage: Eukaryota
Description: partial 18S ribosomal RNA
Rfam family: Eukaryotic small subunit ribosomal RNA
Source: RNAcentral
CCCUUAGAUGUUCUGGGCGGCCCGCGCACUACAUUGGCACUAGCAAAGAGAUCCUAGAUUGAAUUCUUUGGGGUAUUCUUCUAAAUGGUGUCGUGACUGGGAUAAAUCCUUGUAAUUAUUGGUUUUGAACGAGGAAUUCCUUGUAAUCGCGGUUUAUCAGCUCGCGUUGAAUGCGUCCCUGCCCUUUGUACACACCGCCCGUCGCUCCUACCGAUGGAUCGUCCGGUGAAGCUCACGGAGUGACUGUUCACGCAACGGGUUACGAAGUGAAAUGGACCUCACGAUUUAGAGGAAGGAGAAGUCGUAACA